Molecule: ribosomal RNA, 495 nt
Filed under: uncultured bacterium
Lineage: Bacteria
Description: partial 16S ribosomal RNA
Rfam family: Bacterial small subunit ribosomal RNA
Source: RNAcentral
GAUGAACGCUAGCGGGAGGCCUAACACAUGCAAGCCGAGCGGUAUUAUUUCUUCGGAAAUGAGAGAGCGGCGUACGGGUGCGGAACACGUGUGCAACCUGCCUUUAUCUAGGGGAUAGCCUUUCGAAAGGAAGAUUAAUACCCUAUAAUAUAUUUUUUGGCAUCGAAAGAUAUUGAAAACUCCGGUGGAUAGAGAUGGGCACGCGCAAGAUUAGCUAGUUGGUGAGGUAACGGCUCACCAAGGCAAUGAUCUUUAGGGGGCCUGAGAGGGUGAUCCCCCACACUGGUACUGAGACACGGACCAGACUCCUACGGGAGGCAGCAGUGAGGAAUAUUGGUCAAUGGGUGCAAGCCUGAACCAGCCAUCCCGCGUGAAGGACGACUGCCCUAUGGGUUGUAAACUUCUUUUGUAUAGGGAUAAACCUACCCUCGUGAGGGUAGCUGAAGGUACUAUACGAAUAAGCACCGGCUAACUCCGUGCCAGCCGCCGCGGUAA